CCUGGCUGGCCUGGAAUUCACUGAGUUCUCAAACUCAGAAAUCCUUCUGCCUCUGCCUCUGCCUCUGCCUCCUGAGUGCUGAGAUUAAGGGUGUGUGCCACCAUGCCCAGUGUUCUGCUUGCCUGUAUGCAUGUACAACACAUGGGUGUCUAGCAUACUCAGUUUCUCCUGAAACUGAAGCCAUGAGUGCUGGGAACUGAACUUGGGUCCUCUUCAAGAGCAACAUGUGUUCUUAAUUGCUGACUAAUUGCUCCAGCCAAACACCUUAAAUAAGAAAAAAAGGAAGAGUAUAGCAGGCUUUCUUGUACUGCCAGCCUCCAAAUCAUGGCAUGGAGACUUACUAUGAUGCCUGACCUUAGCUUAGGGUUGUCCACUAGCUCUUUAACUUAACCACUUGUUUCUCUUCAUCACUUUGCCUUGGAGAUUUUUUACCUUACUUUCAUUCUGUAUGUCCUACUGUACUGUUUCCUCCAGGUCUGUCUGCCCCUCCCCUCCCGCUGUCUGUCUGUCUGUCUGUCUGUUAUUUUCUCUCUGCCUGCCAGCCCCACCUAUCCCUUCUCUAUCUGGUUCUUGGCCAUUCAGCUUUUUAUUAGUUCAAUCAGAUGCCUUAGGCAGGCAAGGUGAAAGAGCAUCACAUCUUGCUAUUGGCCAUUCAGAUCUUUGUUAGACCAAUUAGGUGCUUUAGACAGGCAAAGUAACACAGCUUUACAGAAUUAAACAAAUGUAGCAUAAACAAAAGCAACAUAUCUUUACAUAAUUAAACGUAGCAUAAACAAAUACACCUUUAUAUAAGUAAACUAAUGCUGCAUAAACAAAUACAUCUUUACAUAGUUAAACAAUUAUUCUGAAACGUAUCUUUACAUAGUUAAAUAUACUAUUCCACAAAAAAAAAAAAAAAAAAAAUGCAGAUGCUUCCAGAGACCAGAAGAGGGCAUCAGAUCCCUUGAAGCUGGAGUUGCAGGCAGGUAUGAGCUGCCUGAUGUAGGUGUUGGGAAUUAAACUCAGGUCUUCUGCAAGAGCAGUACUCUCAUAAGCACUGAGCCUCCUUCUCCACCCCUCUAAUUCCUCAUGUACUCACAAGGAUGGUCUUGAACUCCUGCCCUGACUCCCAAGUGCUGAAAUUACUGGCUUACAUUUUCAGCAGUGUCUGAGUUAGGGUUUCUGUUUCUGCCAUGAAACACCAUGACCAAAAUGCAAGUUGGAGAGGAAAGGGUUUAUUAGACUUAUACUUCAGCAUUGCUGUGCAUUAUUGAAGGAAGUCAAGGCAGGAACUCAAACAGGGCAGGUUCCUGGAGGCAGGAGCUGAUACAGAGGCCAUGGAGGGAUGCUGUUACUGGCUUGCUUCUCGUGGCUUGAUCAACCCACCUUCUUAGAACCCAGGACCACGAGUCCAGGGAUGGUACCAUCCACCAUGGGCUGGGCCCUCCUCUCAUUGAUCACUAAUUGAAAAAAAUGUCUUACAGCUGGAUCUCAAGGAGGCCUUUCUUCAGCUGAGGCGCCUUCCUCUGUUGACUCUAUAGAGCUUGUGUCAACACACAAAGCCAUCCAGUACAAACUGUAAAAUUUUGUGAAAAAUAAAAGCCAGAUUACCUCUUUCAAAUCAAAGUGCAGAUUCCCUUGCCAAGUUACAGACAUGUUUGAAUGUGAAACUGUUGUGCCCAAAUUCUGAAUCCCCAAAUCACCAAGAGGCCCAUUUCGAUGCAAAAGCAAUGAGUCUUUUAUUGCAUUUGUUUAACGAGCUAACAUGGGGUUAGCUCCGGCCUUUCAUCCAUCCACCAUGGCGGAUGGUGGGGAAAAGACACCGAGAAACCACAGGGCAAAGAUCUUAUAGGGCAGCGUAAGAGGAGUGUAUAGGGGUAUGCACAGGCUCAGGAUUGGUGUGCCUCCAGGCUUGGAGAGCUUGCCCUGUGUUGAUUGGUCAACUGGUUGUUAUGUCAUUGUUGUGCACUUGUCCACAAAGCACACCCAGAGCCAUAAAGCGUAGCACCACCAGCUAACUUCUGAUUGGUUCCUUGCCCCAAGGCAGGCUUCUGACCUCUUAGUGACUAAGGCAAGGUCAGGCAAGCACGUGCUAGGCUGUUAUGGCUGCCGAAACACGGAGCUGGUCCCUUCAAAACAUACAGGGUUUCUCUAUGUAGCCCUGGCUGUCCUCGAACUCAAGAGACCCGCCUGCCCCCGCCUCCGGAGUGCGCCACCACCCCAGGCCUUCGCAGUGAAUUUUUCAACCGGUUGGAAAACAGGCUGGAGAGAGGAUCCAAACCCUGGUACGUCGACGAACUUCAACUCCUUUCGGACCGGGACUCCAUCCUGGGUCCCCACUCGCUGCCGCGCCAUCUUGUCUCAGGGGUGCUCCAAAUGUUCACGGCCGCUGUCCUCAAGGCCAGGAGUCCCUCAGAGGAGCUCCCGGAAACGCUCACCAGCGGACAAACGGAGGCCAGAGCGCCGCCAUCACGCUUGCCUCUUCAUGCUUUUCACUGAGCCGGAGGGCGGCUUCCAGCGCAGCCCUCCUUGUGCCGCGACAUUAGCCAAUCACAUCUCAGAAGCCUACUGAAGCCCCGCCCCGUGGUCGCUAGUCAAUCACGGCGAGUUCUG
Molecule: long non-coding RNA, 2592 nt
Filed under: Cricetulus griseus (Chinese hamster)
Lineage: Eukaryota; Metazoa; Chordata; Mammalia; Rodentia; Cricetidae
Description: lncRNA (ENSCGRG00015029310.1)
Source: RNAcentral